GGACGCGAGCGUUAUCCAGAUUUACUGGGCGUAAAGCGUGUGUAGGCGGCGUGACAAGUUGGGCGUGAAAGCGCCGUGCUCAACGCGGGGAGGCCGCACAAUACUGUCAGGCUAGAGGGCAUCAGAGGGGUGUGGAAUUCCCGGAGUAGCGGUAAAAUGCGCAGAUAUCGGGAGGAACACCGGUGGCGAAAGCGGCACCCUGGGGUGCACCUGACGCUGAGAGACGACAGCUAGGGGAGCGAACAGGAUUAGAGACCCUGGUAGUCCUAGCCGUAAACGAUGGAUGCUAGGUGUGGGAGUGAAGAACUUCUGUGCCGCAGCGAACGCGAUAAGCAUCCCGCCUGGGGAGUACGGCCGCAAGGUUAAAACUCAAACGAAUUGACGGGGACCCGCACAAGCAGCGGAGCGUGUGGUUUAAUUCGAUGCUACACGAAGAACCUUACCUGGGAUUGACAUAUGGGUGGUAGUGAGCCGAAAGGCAAGCGACCCUUCGGGGAGCCUAUACAGGUGCUGCAUGGCUGUCGUCAGCUCGUGCCGUGAGGUGUCGGGUUAAGUCCCGUAACGAGCGCAACCCCUGUCCUUAGUUACAAGUGUCUAAGGGGACUGCCGGCGGGAAGCCGGAGGAAGGUGGGGAUGACGUCAAGUCAGCAUGGCCCUUAUAUCCAGGGCGACACACACGCUACAAUGGUCGGUACAGAGGGCAGCGAAGCCGCGAGGUGGAGCGAAACCCAGAAAGCCGGUCGUAGUUCGGAUUGCAGGCUGCAACUCGCCUGCAUGAAGUU
Molecule: ribosomal RNA, 782 nt
Filed under: uncultured organism
Description: bacterial SSU rRNA
Rfam family: Bacterial small subunit ribosomal RNA
Source: RNAcentral